GGGUUCGAUUCCGGAGAGGGAGCCUGAGAAAUGGCUACCACAUCCAAGGAAGGCAGCAGGCGCGUAAAUUGCCCGAAUCCUGACACAGGGAGGUAGUGACAAGAAAUAACAAUACAGGGCUACUUCUAGUCUUGUAAUUGGAAUGAGUACAACUUACAUCUCUUCACGAGGAUCAAUUGGAGGGCAAGUCUGGUGCCAGCAGCCGCGGUAAUUCCAGCUCCAAUAGCGUAUAUUAAAGUUGUUGCAGUUUAAAAGCUCGUAGUCGGAUUUCGGGGCGGGGCGACCGGUCUGCCGAUGGGUAUGCACUGGUCGGCGCGUCCUUCUUUCCGGAGACCGUGCCUACUCUUAACUGAGCGGGGGCGGGAGACGGAUCGUUUACUUUGAAAAAAUCAGAGUGUUUCAAGCAGGCAGCUCGCUCUUGCAUGGAUUAGCAUGGGAUAAUGAAAUAGGACUUUGGUGCUAUUUUGUUGGUUUCGAACACCGAAGUAAUGAUUAACAGGGACAGUCAGGGGCACUCGUAUUCCGUCGAGAGAGGUGAAAUUCUCAGACCAAUGGAAGACGAACCACUGCGAAAGCAUUUGCCAGGGAUGUUUUCACUGAUCAAGAACGAAAGUUAGGGGAUCGAAGACGAUCAGAUACCGUCGUAGUCUUAACCAUAAACCAUGCCGACUAGGGAUUGGGGGAUGUUCUAUAUUGACUCCCUCAGCACCUUACGGGAAACUAAAGUCUUUGGGUUCCGGGGGGAGUAUGGUCGCAAGGCUGAAACUUAAAGGAAUUGACGGAAGGGCACCACCAGGAGUGG
Molecule: ribosomal RNA, 802 nt
Filed under: uncultured eukaryote
Lineage: Eukaryota
Description: SSU rRNA
Rfam family: Eukaryotic small subunit ribosomal RNA
Source: RNAcentral